This 100-nucleotide signal recognition particle RNA is filed under the name Clostridiales bacterium. RNAcentral describes it as "signal recognition particle sRNA small type". It matches the Rfam family "Bacterial small signal recognition particle RNA". From Rfam's summary of the family: The signal recognition particle (SRP) is a universally conserved ribonucleoprotein involved in the co-translational targeting of proteins to membranes. Archaeal SRP consists of a 7S RNA and homologues of the eukaryotic SRP19 and SRP54 proteins. The record is from RNAcentral. Lineage: Bacteria; Bacillati; Bacillota; Clostridia; Eubacteriales.
GUUUGGGUCUUACGCAACAGGAAUUUGUGAACCGUGUCAGGUCAGGAAUGAAGCAGCACUAAGCAAAAGCUCCUGUGUGCCGUAAGGCAACCUGGGCUGA